Vigna unguiculata (cowpea) is the source of this 274-nucleotide long non-coding RNA. The record is from RefSeq and is a predicted model, not a curated record. Lineage: Eukaryota; Viridiplantae; Streptophyta; Magnoliopsida; Fabales; Fabaceae.
UUUCCAAGUUUCCAAAAACAGAAACCAAACCCCCUCCCUCUCAUUUUCUCUGCAAAUUCAACUCCCCCUAUCUGUCUCUCUCUGAUCCUUGCUGUCAUCUCACCACCUCUUGCUUCUUGAUCAAAUUAUGGAGAAGAAGCCACACCUGAGCCUCCUGCUACCUCCACUCAUAGUCUCUCUUCUUCUAGGUCGGGCUGAGGAAUUCUGCUCCCCUCUCUUAGGUUGUCUUCACCCAAGCUUUAACCCAAAAAUAGGUUUAAGCAGAUCUUCAAGG